RNAcentral lists this ribosomal RNA (1949 nucleotides) under human gut metagenome. RNAcentral describes it as "bacterial LSU rRNA". It matches the Rfam family "Bacterial large subunit ribosomal RNA", at positions 3 to 1995 of the family's 2925-position model. The record is from RNAcentral.
UCAAGUGACUAAGUGCAUGUGGCGGAUGCCUUGGCGAUCACAGGCGAAGAAAGACGCGGCAGCCUGCGAAAAGCUGCGGGGAGCUGGCAAACGAGCUUUGAUCCGCAGAUAUCUGAAUGGGGGAACCCACACCGCAAGGUGUAUCCGUGACUGAAUACAUAGGUUACGGAGGCGAACGAGGAGAACUGAAACAUCUAAGUAUCCUCAGGAAAAGAAAUCAACCGAGAUUCCGGCAGUAGCGGCGAGCGAACCCGGAGGAGCCUAGCUUUUGAUAGUACGAACUUUAGCCGAAAGGUCCUGGAAAGGCCUGCUAUAGUGGGUGAUAGCCCCGUAGGCGAAAGAGUUCGUACGGUACUAAGGAAGCGAGAAGUAGAGCGGGACACGUGGAAUCCUGUUCGAAGAUGGGGGGACCAUCCUCCAAGGCUAAAUACUCGUGAUCGACCGAUAGUGAACCAGUACCGUGAGGGAAAGGCGAAAAGAACCCCGGGAGGGGAGUGAAAUAGAACCUGAAACCGCAUGCAUACAAACAGUAGGAGCCUCACCAGAGGUGACUGCGUACCUUUUGCAUAAUGGGUCAGCGACUUACAUUCUGUGGCGAGCUUAACCGAAUAGGGGAGGCGCAGCGAAAGCGAGUUCGAAAUGAGCGUCCAGUCGCAGGGUGUAGACCCGAAACCAGAUGAGCUAUCCAUGGCCAGGUUGAAGGUGUGGUAACACACACUGGAGGACCGAACCGACUAGUGUUGCAAAAUUAGCGGAUGAGCUGUGGAUAGGGGUGAAAGGCCAAACAAAUCUGGAGAUAGCUGGUUCUCCCCGAAAACUAUUGAGGUAGUGCCUCGUGUGUCGCUCCAGGGGGUAGAGCACUGUUUUGGCUAGGGGGACAUGGAGUCUUACCAAACCAAGGCAAACUCCGAAUACCUGGAAGCGUAAGCACGGGAGACAGAGCACCGGGUGCUAACGUCCGGACUCAAAAGGGAAACAACCCAGACCGCCGGCUAAGGUCCCCAAUAACAGCUAAGUGGAAAACGAAGUGGAAAGGCCGUGACAACCAGGAAGUUGGCUUAGAAGCAGCCAUCCUUCAAAGAAAGCGUAAUAGCUCACUGGUCGAGUCCUUCUGCGCGGAAGAUGUAACGGGGCUAAGCUGUUAACCGAAGCCGCGGAUGCACUGAUUAUUCAGUGCGUGGUAGGGGAGCGUUCUGUAAGUCUGCGAAGGCGGUUCGAGAGGACUGCUGGAGAUAUCAGAAGUGCGAAUGCUGACAUGAGUAACGUUAAAGCAGGUGAAAAGCCUGCUCGCCGUAAGCCCAAGGAUUCCUGCUCUACGUUCAUCGGAGCAGGGUGAGUCGGCUCCUAAGGUCAGGCCGAAAGGCGUAGCCGAUGGGAAUCAGGUUAAUAUUCCUGAACCUGCGUCAGAUGCGAUGGGGGGACGGAGCAUGAAAGAUCAUCCGGGUGUUGGAUGUCCCGGUUGACGAGCGUAGGAGGUCUGCAGGCAAAUCCGCAGACGCAUCUCCAAGGCGAAGUCACGUGCCGCCACGGCGGCGAAGUGAUCGGAAGUGCUUCCAAGAAAAGCCUCUAAGCACCAGUCUGACGCGGACCGUACCGCAAACCGACACUGGUGGGCGAGCUGAAUAUGCUCAGGCGCUUGAGAGAACUCGGGAGAAGGAACUCGGCAAAUUGACACCGUAACUUCGGAAGAAGGUGUGCCGUAGUACCGUGAGAGGAGAGACACCUUGAGCGGGAAUCGGUCUCAGAGAAUAGGUGGCUGCGACUGUUUAUUAAAAACACAGCACUCUGCAAAGUCGAAAGACGACGUAUAGGGUGUGAUGCCUGCCCGGUGCUGGAAGAUUAAUUGAUGGGGUGAGAGCCCUUGAUCGAAGUCCCAGUAAACGGCGGCCGUAACUAUAACGGUCCUAAGGUAGCGAAAUUCCUUGUCGGGUAAGUUCCGACCUGCACGA